RNAcentral lists this ribosomal RNA (434 nucleotides) under uncultured Lachnospiraceae bacterium. Its description in RNAcentral is "partial 16S ribosomal RNA". It matches the Rfam family "Bacterial small subunit ribosomal RNA", at positions 341 to 792 of the family's 1533-position model. The record is from RNAcentral. Lineage: Bacteria; Bacillati; Bacillota; Clostridia; Lachnospirales; Lachnospiraceae.
ACGGAAGGCAGCAGUGGGGAAUAUUGCACAAUGGGCGAAAGCCUGAUGCAGCGACGCCGCGUGAGUGAAGAAGUAUCUCGGUAUGUAAAGCUCUAUCAGCAGGGAAGAAAAUGACGGUACCUGACUAAGAAGCCCCGGCUAACUACGUGCCAGCAGCCGCGGUAAUACGUAGGGGGCAAGCGUUAUCCGGAUUUACUGGGUGUAAAGGGAGCGUAGACGGUUUGGCAAGCCUGAAGUGAAAUGCGGGGGCUCAACUCCUGAACUGCUUUGGAAACUGUCGAACUAGAGUGCAGGAGAGGUAAGUGGAAUUCCUAGUGUAGCGGUGAAAUGCGUAGAUAUUAGGAGGAACACCAGUGGCGAAGGCGGCUUACUGGACUGUAACUGACGUUGAGGCUCGAAAGCGUGGGGAGCAAACAGGAUUAGAUACCCUGGUA